CAAAUACUCCCUCCGUUCGGAAAUACUUGUCAUUGAAAUGGAUGUAUCUAGAUGUAUUUUAAUUGCAGAUACAUCCAUUUUCAUCCAUUUUGAUGACAAGUAUUUCCGGACGGAGGGAGUAUUUA
Triticum aestivum (bread wheat) is the source of this 125-nucleotide non-coding RNA. The record is from Rfam. Lineage: Eukaryota; Viridiplantae; Streptophyta; Magnoliopsida; Poales; Poaceae.